Molecule: unclassified non-coding RNA, 7737 nt
Filed under: Cimex lectularius (bed bug)
Lineage: Eukaryota; Metazoa; Arthropoda; Insecta; Hemiptera; Cimicidae
Description: putative uncharacterized protein DDB_G0282133, transcript variant X4
Source: RNAcentral
CUGCAAUGAUAGGACCUUUUGUUGUCCCUAAGCCUUGUAUUCCAAGCAUUCCAGCACCUUGCUAUUUUCCUCCAUGUUGUCCCGUCCCUUGUACACCAUGUCCACCUAAAUGUCCCCCUGUCGUUUGUCCUCCAAAAUGUCCCCCAAAAUGUCCUCCUCCUCCUUGUCCCUCUCCGAACCAAACAGCAUUAACUAGAACAACACAAUUUCAACUUCCAAGUGGAUCGUCAAAUGGUAAAAAUACUUUUUUGAACAGGAGCAAGCUUAAUUCAAUAUGUGCUUACAAUGUUGUUGGUACUAAACCAAAGUUGACAUUGGGCAAUGUAAAAGUUAUGAAAAAAUUCGAACCAAGAAAAAAUGCAGCAGACAAUAGCACUAAUGCAAAAAAAGGCAUAACGUGUGAAACAGUUGUAACUUCUAAAGGCCGUGUUACUGUGUGUAAAUGGGAUAAUGAAGAGCUAAAUGAUCCACAUGAUGAAGAAAAUUUGUAUAGCAACAAUCAUGUAAAAAAUUACAAAGUUCGGCCCAGUAAGUCAGACAGUAUGUUAGCACAAGCUAAAAAUCAUAAUUUCAAAUGUUUAACCUAUGAAAUAAAAGAUCCUAUAACUAAAAUAAACAAAAAAUCUAAAAUUUGUUUUGAAAACGGACAUGACAUUGUAAACUAUCUAUCUAAAGGGGUUCAAACUCAGUUAGUAUUACCUUUAAAAUUGACUAAAAAUUCCCCAGUGCACAAUGAGCCAAAACAUCGGUUCAGUUGUAAAAAUAAUAAGCCACAAAUAAAUAAAAAUACAUCCCCGAUACGUAAAUCCAUAGAGCCACAGAAAAAGGAGAAAACAUGGUAUUCACAUCACAGAAUGGAUUCAGUUGAAACUCAAACUAAUAGAUCCUACAAUCCACAAAAAAAUCGUUCUUUUCCACUACCAGCAAAAACAAUUAGGAAAAGAUAUAUCUAUGUACCUAAAUAUAUUCGUAACAAAGGAAAUUUAAAUGAAAUAAUGAACAUGGAAAACAAGUCACAUUCUUUGAAUUCUGACAAAAUGAAGCCGAAUGUAGACUACCUUACUGAUAUAAAUAAAAUCAACAUAGAUGGGAAUAUUGAAAGGAUACCUCGAACAGUGUCUACUGGAAUGAAUACUGACAUUUCUAAAAUAACACGAACUGUAUGCACAUACACCAAUGAGAAUGACUGUGCUAAUAAAAAAUCCUCUAAUCCUAGUGUAGGAUUGAAUUUAAGAGAAAGUAAUUCAGUUUACAAAAUAAAUAUCACAACAUCUGCUAUUAAAGAAAAGGAAUCAAAUAUUCCUGUAAAAAAAAACAAGAGUAGUAUGCAAAUGCAAAGAAUAAAUUCACAAAUGAACAAAGAGAAAGAAAAAUAUGUGGUUAAGAUGUGUGGUACUGAUCCUAUUACCAAGGUAUCGAAGGGCACCCAAAUGUAUUUUCAAAAAAUUGAUAAAGUUCCUAGUAAGACGUUAAUACCGAAUGUUGUUUUUGAACCACCGGCUGAACAAAGAGAAAAUGAAAAUCCUUUACUAAACACAAUCAAUGGAAUAAACAACUAUAUUUUAGAUUAUCUUAAACCUAAAGGAGUCAAUGAAAAUAAAGGAGAUCAAAAGUCUAGAAGUAAAUCGAUGCAUAAAAUACAAUUUGAAUGUUCGCUAAAUGACAGUGGCAAGCCGCAUUGUUAUGCUGUCCAUAGAAACCUAAGUCCAACUUCAGAAAUAACUCUUCCAUCUGUCGUUACUCCAGAACAUACAAUUAAAAAUCAAAUUAAUAAAAAUGAAGCCAAUAAAAAAUUUGGAAACAUCAUUUGCCAACAUUUUAUACAUAAAGACCUAAAUGAGAAUUUUAUUCAUCCAAAUAGCAAUGAAAACAUCGUUAAUCUAAUUAAUGAUCUCAACACUAGAAAAGACUCUAAGAAAAGUUUAAAAGAUGACGUUUUGUUAGAAACAAAUAUUAUUGAUGGCAAAAAAGAUGACGUUUUGUUAGAAACAAAUACUAUUGAUGGCAAAAAAGAUGACGUUUUGUUAGAAACAAAUACUACUGAUGGCAAAUUAAAAGAAAAUAAUGCAACAAGUCUAUGUAAACCACACGACACUGUUAAAUUCUGCUGUCCCGGGUGUUCAAGUGACUAUCAAUGUUGUAAAGAAACAACCCAACACAAUAAAAAUGAAGAAAAAAACACUGAUGAAGAUUCUGCAAAACUAAAAGAGAAAAAAUUAAGCAGUGGCAUGGAUAAUAUCUGUGUUAACGUUGAUGAUAUAACAAAAAAGCAAUUGUCCUUGUACACAGCUUGUUGUUCUAAAAAUAAAAAAGAAGAAAAUAGACCAUCAGUAGAUAGCACACUAUACAAAAAUGGCCAGAAGUUUAGAUUAGGGAACAAGGCAACAAAUACAUGUAGUGGAUGUUCUAUUUUGCCAGCAAAAAAAGUUAACCGUGGUUGUUCAGCUUUUGACGUUUCACCAAAGACUAAUACUUCAACAAGUAUGUCUCAAAAUGACAUGUUUCCAAAAGAAAACGUACAACCUAUUAAUGAGAAUAAGCCAAAUAAUAAAAUUUUUGAUACUUUAGACUUCACUGAUGGUUUAACACACCUCUUUUUGAAAUACCUUAAUCAAAAUGCAAGGCGAUUGGUUUUUGACAGGAUUAAUCAAGAUAACUCUAUUUCUUCAAUAGAAGACAUAAUGGAAAACAUUCUUAAUUCAGCUUUUGUAGUUAAAACAAAAGUACAAAAAUCUAAAAAACUAAAAAAAGAGAGCAAUGCCUACAAAAGAAAGCGGAAAUUACUUAAAAUAAAAGCGAAAUUAAAACAACAAAAAAGUAGGAACACCAGCAAAGAGAGUACAGAUUUUAAUCAAUCAAUACAAUCAAUCAAACAAAGUAGUGCAGAAUUAAAUAAGGAACACAGAAUUAAAUUAGCCGAAUGCAACUCUCACCAGUCUUCAAACAAUAAAGAGGUGGUCGCUAAGAUUUUGACAAAGAAUGAAUCACCAAAAGAAAAUAAAAGCGAUUUCAUACAAAAUGUUUCCAAGCAACAAGCAUUGUGUGAAACCGAAAUAAUUAAAACUCUUAGUGAAAUGACUAUUAGAUCAAGUAAAAAAACAAUCCAAAGCAACGUCAGCCAGCCGAAUUCUUCAACUAAUAAAUUUUCUAAUAAUCGCAGAAGUCAAAUUAAAUUAAUUACAUCCUUACAACAGCUAUAUGGAAAACAUUUAUCCUCUGAUCAAAAAAAGAGAGAAAAGUCAAAAAUUUCUAGUUCAAAUGAUAAAACAUUAAAGGAAAAAAUAAAAAGAGAAGAUACUGAGCAUGAAGCUGCAAAAUUAGAAAAUACACCUAAACCAGAAACAUCUAAUUUAAAUACCAAUGCAACAAAUCUUUCAGAAAAUAUUAAUAUGUAUUAUUCAUCCCAAAAAGAGUGUUUGUCAAUGGAUCAGAACAGCGUAACUGAUUAUGACAAAAAACAAAUAGAAACUUUCAGUUUCAAUAGUCAAAACGUGAGUAAUAAUGAGAAAUUACCAGACAGAGGACAAAGUGAUUAUAUUAGUGAACAUAUUUUUGGCAGAACUAAACCAAACUAUUUUUUCAACAAUAUUUUAGAUCAUUUAUUAUCAUCAAAUAAGCCAUCACUGAAUGAAUUUAAUAGAGAUGAAUCUAGCGAUAACUGCCAGUUUAGCAUUGCGGAUGGCAAAACUUGUGAUGAAGACAUCCAAUUGUCAAUCCAAAAAUUAGAAUCUUAUGGAGAAACUGCAGACUUAAAGAGUAAAGUAAGUAUAGAAACUGAAAAAGGCGAUAAAGGAAUAUCAAUUGAAAACAACAAAACUCAAACAAACGUCAUCAGCCAUGACAAUGUUCCUGUACACAAUGUUGGCCAUAAGGACUGGCAUAGUCCACAAAUGCCUGGUGCAUUUAAAAAAAAUGAAACACUAACAACUUUUACGGAAAGAAACAUAUGUUCCCAAAGAUACCUGACAGAUACAACAAAGACCUGCCAGGAUGACAUUAGAAAAAUUGACGUAUUGGUUAAAAAACAAAAAACCGAAGGAUUAGAACAUAGGAAAAACAAGCAUGAUGAAAAAAUACAGAUUAAUACCAAUUUUGCUGAGGUAUCAAAUGAAAAUGAUUAUUUUAUAAACAAGACACAUAAUAUUGUGGAUGCUAAGAUUCAAUAUGUCAGAAAUGUUAAUGCUGGGCAUAAAAACUGGUGCAAUAACAUAACUACUAAAAAAAGGGAUGAAGAUUUGGAUCAAAAGCCAGCUGUAGUUACAGAGAAAAAGACACUAAAUAAUAAUGAAUCAAUGGCCCCAACAUUAAGCCAAGAAAAUAUUAAGUCAUCCAAAUCCAUUAUCUCAAAUGAUAAUAAAACUAAAGAAAGUGACACACAAAGUGGUAUCCAGUCAAGCUCAAAACCCCAAAAAUCUUCUCCCACAACGCCUUUCAAUCAUUCAAAAGAAGUGCCAGUUAAUUCUAAAAUUUCUAUUGAAGACAAGUUAACUAUAAAAAUAGACAAUUUGGAAAAAGAUAUUCUCAACAGUAGUUACCUUCAAUUAGGUGCAAAUAGCACACUUGUUAACCCUGGUAAUAACGACAACACACAAACAAGCUCCUACAAGCAAAGCAACACAUUAUCAGAAAACACUUCUCAAAAAAAAGUUACCGAUAGAGAAUCCCCUUUAUCUGAAAAGAGGCAGUUAGACCGACCAUCAGAAUCAUCUUUUCAGAACAGAACAUCUCCUCCUUUGCAAAAUGAUUAUGAUUCAGAAUUAUACCUGACACCUUGGGUUUUAGGUGUCCCAUAUAAUACUGCCAAACCAUAUAAAAAUGAAGAUUUAAAUGAUAAAGAUGCAAUGACAAAUAUAAAUGUAACCAAGUAUCAUGAUAAAAAUAGUAUUCAGAACACAGAUAUCGUCAAUACGGGUGAUUGUACAACUGGAAUGACUGGGUUCACGAAUACUAAUAAAAACGACAUCAAGCAAUCAAACAUUGUACAUGAAACCACAAAAAUAACCGAAAUCAUAUACAAUGACAGAGACAAAACUAAACACACAAACAUUGAAGAAGCAGAUAAACAUGAAAUGGCAAAAAUAAAUGAACUCAAAGAUAAUGAUAAGUUCUCCAAGCAAACAAAUAAUAGCAAUGAAAAAGAUGACUAUGAAAUAUCAACAAUAGGCAAAGUAAAAACUACUAAUAUUGUUACUAAUAACAGUGGUAGUAAUACAGAUAUGCUUAAUAUAACAGAAGUGAACACAAACACUGGCAAAGAUAACACAAAGGAAAAAACAAUUGCCAAUGAUACUGAUGAAUAUAAGACAGCAGGAAUGACUGAAAACAAACUAACAGCUAAAGAAGAAUUUUUAAAUAUUGAUAACGUAUCAGAUAAAAUGGAGUCUAAAUAUCCUAGUACUGAUAAAAUUACAAUACAUUCAACUGACAUAAUGAAUUUUCAUCAAGGUGUUACUGAAAAUGAAAAUUCUACAACUAAAAAUAACAAUUCAACAAGCGAUACAAAUCAAGACCACUUAAAAACCAAUGAAAUAGAGAAUGAUUUGAAAGAAACAAACCAGAGUUACAAUCAUGAAAUUGAUUGUGAAAUUUGCAAUCAGUAUAAGAAUGACCUCAAAUUUACAUUUAAGCACAAUAAAGAUCAGUCUGGAAAAGAUUCAAUUAAAUCACCGGAUAUUCAGCCCUGUAUUCCAGAAGAAAAAUUAAUGCUAAAACAGCCUUCAUCAGUCGGCAGCUAUGAACGGUUAGGAGAUAAAAGUAACCACUUCCUCGAGCAAAUUACAGCUGCUCUAGAAGCAGAAUGUAAAAAACAAGCAGAACAAAACUCUAACAAAUACAAGCACAAAUUCAAAGAAUUUCACUAUAAUAGGAAACGCCAAGAAAAUGACAAACAAGAAAAUGUGUUGCUUAAAACAUUUAAUAAAAACAGACUUAAUCCACACCAAAAUAAAACAAACGACACUUUGAAACAACUAAAUAUUGAUGUUUUGCACAGACAAGAAAACAACACAAUUAUUAAUCAGGUAAUUACUUCAACUAAAAAGACACCUCAAAUAUUCAUAAAAGAAAAUAAAGACUUAGUUGCUUGUGAGCCCAAGUCACAAAUAAAGGAAAAACAAUUAAAAAAUAAAAAUGAUUCCAAAAAUGAACAUCAUUGCAACCAACUUGCAUGCUUGGUUUGUAGUAGAGAAGAAAAUGAGAUUUUAUGUUUUCGGCCUUCAACAAGUAAAGCACCAACCAAACCUGGUCAAGAUUUUUUUGUUUCGUCUAAUCAAUUGAACUCCCUGAAACAAAAUAUGCAAGAUGUCCAAGGUGAAUCAAAGCGUCAAUGUAAGAGUACAAAAUUAGAAAGUGAACUCACUAAUAUGGCUCAAGAUCGAUUUGUUCAUAGUCAUACACCAACAGUAAAAAUUGAAAUAAAAAACAACACAAAAGAACAAUGUAGAACUGAAAACGAUUAUGGUACUUACUACGCUCAACCUAUCGCAAAAUGGCAAGUCACUCCAAGUAUUGAAAGCAUUUUAAAAUGUACUCAAGGGCCAAGCCAGCACAAAUCAAAGAAGAAUGACAAAUUGAAUGGUAUGGAGAAAAAUACAAAAAUUAGAGAUGAGCAAAUUGCAAAAAGAAAAUCUUCAAAAAAGAAAACUGAACAACUUUUAGAUAACAUUAAAUUAGAGAAAAGGAAAAAGAGCCAUAAAAUUUCUAAUGACCAGGACUCUUUUUUUCCUAUAUUUGAGUCAGAAUCAUAUAAAAAUUUUGUAAGUACAAUGGUAGGAAGUGGUCAUCAACCUAAAUCAAAUGAAUUAAAUAUGCCAAAGUUGAGUUCUAAGAAAACUAAAAAUCCAAUUUAUUCUACAAUAACAAAGACCAAGACUCCUUCAUGUUCAUACAGUACUAGUUCAGCCAGCAGAAUUCAGCCAAGAGCAGAAGGAGAUUCAUUUCAACAGACAAGCACUUACGUGACAUUCCCAUGCUUUACAAUAAAUGAUCUAUUUUCAUUUUCAUUGGAUUCGACAGAAAAAAGUCAUUUGUCUAAGACAGCCAUCGACACAUAUUUGAAAUCACUGCAUGAGCUGUCAAGUACACUAGAUGAUCAGUUGAAACUAAUGAAGUUUGCUUUAGACGAAGAAAACCUAAAGCUCAUAAGCCAUUUUCAUGCUAAUUCUUCUUCUGGAUAUAGCAAAGAAAGAUCGCGGCAAUUGUACAUGCAUCUAGUUAGUGUUGACAAAUCUACAAAACAAAGAAAUCAAGAUUGUGUAAGAUCUACUAUAUUUUUAACGGAUGGUGUCUCUUCACCAAGAUUAGCUGAUUUUAGCCAGGCACAAUAUUCAAAAUAUGAUUCCAACUCUCAGAAAAGCAAUUCAAAAUACAAAGUUAGCAAAAGUACUAUGCUUUAUGUCCAAAAAGAGCUGUCUACUUUAAAAUCUCAAAUUGAUCAAACUCCAUAUUUACAUCUCCGUGAAGAGAUCAUUUCAAAUAAAUCACUUACAGACAUUGAGCAUAAAUACCUGAUUAAGUCAAUAGAUGAGCAACUAGAAAAACUCAAGUCUAUUGAGAAAGAGAUAGAUGAUCUUAUUCAUGAGUUGAAGUUUUAGCAUGUAGAAGGACAUUUACACUCUAAUUUUGACAGCUGGUUUACUUUCAGAGAAACUGCAAUUCAUAGUAUAGAGGGCGAUAAAGAUUAUUCGUUAAGUAAUGGACCAGCAGAAAAAAAUAAUUGUUUAAAAGUAGAAAGUAGUA